Molecule: ribosomal RNA, 459 nt
Filed under: uncultured bacterium
Lineage: Bacteria
Description: partial 16S ribosomal RNA
Rfam family: Bacterial small subunit ribosomal RNA
Source: RNAcentral
CCUACGGGUGGCAGCAGUGAGGAAUAUUGGUCAAUGGUCGGGAGACUGAACCAGCCAAGCCGCGUGAGGGAUGAAGGUACAGAGUAUCGUAAACCUCUUUUGUCAGGGAUCAAAGGCGGGGACGUGUCCCCGGAUGAGUGUACCUGACGAAAAAGCAUCGGCUAACUCCGUGCCAGCAGCCGCGGUAAUACGGAGUAUGCGCGCGUUAUCGGGAUUUAUUGGGUUUAAGGGGUGCGCAGGCGGUAUGUAAGGUCAGCGUUAAAAGCCCGGGCUGAAACACGGGACCGCGGUUGAAACUGGCAGUCUAGAGUUGGAGAGAAGUAUGCGGAAGGCGCGGUGUAGCGGUGAAAUGCAUAGAUAUCGCGCAGAACUCCGAUUGCGAAGGCAGCAUGCCGGCUCCAAACUGACGCUGAGGCACGAAAGCGUGGGUAUCGAACAGGAUUAGAUACCCUUGUAGUC